UACGUAAGGUCCGAGCGUUGUCCGGAAUCAUUGGGCGUAAAGGGUACGUAGGCGGAUAAGCAAGUUAGAAGUGAAAUCCUAUAGCUCAACUAUAGUAAGCUUUUAAAACUGUUCAUCUUGAGGUAUGGAAGGGAAAGUGGAAUUCCUAGUGUAGCGGUGAAAUGCGCAGAUAUUAGGAGGAAUACCGGUGGCGAAGGCGACUUUCUGGCCAUAAACUGACGCUGAGGUACGAAAGCGUGGGUAGCAAACAGG
Molecule: ribosomal RNA, 252 nt
Filed under: uncultured bacterium
Lineage: Bacteria
Description: partial 16S ribosomal RNA
Rfam family: Bacterial small subunit ribosomal RNA
Source: RNAcentral